GGACCUUUAGCUCAGAUGGUUAGAGCACCGCACUCAUAAUGCGUAGGUCGAUGGUUCGAGUCCAUCAAGGUCCA
This 74-nucleotide transfer RNA is filed under the name bacterium. RNAcentral describes it as "tRNA-Ile". It matches the Rfam family "tRNA". From Rfam's summary of the family: Transfer RNA (tRNA) molecules are approximately 80 nucleotides in length. Their secondary structure includes four short double-helical elements and three loops (D, anti-codon, and T loops). Further hydrogen bonds mediate the characteristic L-shaped molecular structure. tRNAs have two regions of fundamental functional importance: the anti-codon, which is responsible for specific mRNA codon recognition, and the 3' end, to which the tRNAs corresponding amino acid is attached (by aminoacyl-tRNA synthetases). tRNAs cope with the degeneracy of the genetic code in two manners: having more than one tRNA (with a specific anti-codon) for a particular amino acid; and 'wobble' base-pairing, i.e. permitting non-standard base-pairing at the 3rd anti-codon position. The record is from RNAcentral.